GGCGAGGCACGUGAAACCUUGUCUGAAUAUGGGGGGACCAUCCUCCAAGGCUAAAUACUCCUGACUGACCGAUAGUGAACCAGUACCGUGAGGGAAAGGCGAAAAGAACCCCUGUGAGGGGAGUGAAAUAGAUCCUGAAACCGCAUGCAUACAAGCAGUGGGAGCACCUUCGUGGUGUGACUGCGUACCUUUUGUAUAAUGGGUCAGCGACUUAUAUUCAGUAGCGAGGUUAACCGUAUAGGGGAGCCGUAGAGAAAUCGAGUCUUAAUAGGGCGUUUAGUUGCUGGGUAUAGACCCGAAACCAGGCGAUCUAUCCAUGAGCAGGUUGAAGGUUGGGUAACACUAACUGGAGGACCGAACCCACUGUCGUUGAAAAGCCAGGGGAUGACUUGUGGAUAGGGGUGAAAGGCUAAUCAAGCCUGGUGAUAGCUGGUUCUCCCCGAAAGCUAUUUAGGUAGCGCCUCGGACGAAUACCAUAGGGGGUAGAGCACUGUUUCGGCUAGGGGGUCAUCCCGACUUACCAAACCGAUGCAAACUCCGAAUACCUAUGAGUACUAUCCGGGAGACAGACUGCGGGUGCUAACGUCCGUAGUCAAGAGGAAAACAAUCCAGACCGCCAGCUAAGGCCCCAAAAUCAUAGUUAAGUGGGAAACGAUGUGGGAAGGCAUAGACAGCUAGGAGGUUGGCUUAGAAGCAGCCACCCUUUAAAGAAAGCGUAAUAGCUCACUAGUCGAGUCGGCCUGCGCGGAAGAUGUAACGGGGCUAAAACUAUGUGCCGAAGCUGCGGAUGUAUACUUUGUAUACGUGGUAGGGGAGCGUUCUGUAAGCCGAUGAAGGUGUGUUGAGAAGCAUGCUGGAGGUAUCAGAAGUGCGAAUGCUGACGUGAGUAACGACAAAACGGGUGAAAAACCCGUUCGCCGAAAGACCAAGGGUUCCAGUCCAACGUUAAUCGGGGCUGGGUGAGUCGACCCCUAAGGCGAGGCCGAAAGGCGUAGUCGAUGGGAAAAUGGUUAAUAUUCCAUUACUUCUGUGUAAUGCGAUGAGAGGACGGAGAAGGCUAAAUCAGCCUGGCGUUGGUUGUCCAGGUGAAAGGAUGUAGGCAUGUAUCUUAGGCAAAUCCGGGGUACUCUAUGCUGAGAUCUGAUAGCAAGCUGUACUUGUACAGCGAAGUGGUUGAUGCCAUGCUUCCAGGAAAAGUCUCUAAGCUUCAGUUACACAGGAAUCGUACCCGAAACCGACACAGGUGGUCAGGUCGAGUAGACCAAGGCGCUUGAGAGAACUCUGCUGAAGGAACUAGGCAAAAUGGUACCGUAACUUCGGGAGAAGGUACGCUGUUGUUGGUGAUGGAACUCGCUUCCUGAGCUGACGACAGCCGCAGAAACCAGGCCGCUGCAACUGUUUAUUAAAAACAUAGCACUCUGCAAACACGAAAGUGGACGUAUAGGGUGUGAUGCCUGCCCGGUGCUGGAAGGUUAAUUGAUGGGGUUAGCGUAAGCGAAGCUCUUGAUCGAAGCCCCAGUAAACGGCGGCCGUAACUAUAACGGUCCUAAGGUAGCGAAAUUCCUUGUCGGGUAAGUUCCGACCUGCACGAAUGGCAUAAUGAUGGCGGCGCUGUCUCCAGCAGAGGCUCAGUGAAAUCGAAAUCGCUGUGAAGAUGCAGUGUACCCGCGGCUAGACGGAAAGACCCCGUGAACCUUUACUGCAGCUUGACACUGAACUUUGACCUUACUUGUGUAGGAUAGGUGGGAGGCUUUGAAGCUGGAACGCUAGUUCCAGUGGAGCCGUCCUUGAAAUACCACCCUGGUAAUGUUGAGGUUCUAACUCUGUCCCGUGAUCCGGGACGAGGACCGUGUCUGGUGGGUAGUUUGACUGGGGCGGUCUCCUCCUAAAGAGUAACGGAGGAGUACGAAGGUGCGCUCAGCGUGGUCGGAAAUCACGCGUAGAGUAUAAAGGCAAAAGCGCGCUUAACUGCGAGACCCACAAGUCGAGCAGGUACGAAAGUAGGUCUUAGUGAUCCGGUGGUUCUGUAUGGAAGGGCCAUCGCUCAACGGAUAAAAGGUACUCUGGGGAUAACAGGCUGAUACCGCCCAAGAGUUCAUAUCGACGGCGGUGUUUGGCACCUCGAUGUCGGCUCAUCUCAUCCUGGGGCUGAAGCAGGUCCCAAGGGUAUGGCUGUUCGCCAUUUAAAGAGGUACGCGAGCUGGGUUUAGAACGUCGUGAGACAGUUCGGUCCCUAUCUACCGUGGGCGCUGGAAAUUUGAGAGGAUCUGCUCCUAGUACGAGAGGACCAGAGUGGACGAACCUCUGGUGUACCGGUUGUGACGCCAGUCGCAUCGCCGGGUAGCUAUGUUCGGAAGGGAUAACCGCUGAAAGCAUCUAAGCGGGAAGCCUACCUCAAGAUAAGAUUUCCCUAGGACUUUAUGUCCUCUAAAGAGCCGUUCGAGACUAGGACGUUGAUAGGUUGGAUGUGGAAGCAUAGUGAUAUGUGAAGCUGACCAAUACUAAUUGCUCGUGAGGCUUGACUAU
This 2526-nucleotide ribosomal RNA is filed under the name Acinetobacter baumannii. Its description in RNAcentral is "partial 23S ribosomal RNA". It matches the Rfam family "Bacterial large subunit ribosomal RNA", at positions 416 to 2925 of the family's 2925-position model. Lineage: Bacteria; Pseudomonadati; Pseudomonadota; Gammaproteobacteria; Moraxellales; Moraxellaceae. The record is from RNAcentral.